This 174-nucleotide unclassified non-coding RNA is filed under the name uncultured Ascomycota. RNAcentral's name for it is "sequence contains ITS1". The record is from RNAcentral. Lineage: Eukaryota; Fungi; Ascomycota.
AAGAGUAAUACGCAGCCGGGUUUGCCUAGCUGUCGUCACACUCCACCCUUUGUUUACAUUACCUUUGUUGCUUUGGCAGGCCCGCUCUCGGGCCACCGGCUUUGGCUGGUCAGUGUCUGCCAGAGAACCUAAAACUCAUGUUAAUAUUAUUGUCUGAGUACUAUAUAAUAGUUA